UACAGAGGUCUCAAGCGUUGUUCGGAUUCAUUGGGCGUAAAGGGUGCGUAGGCGGUUCGCUAAGUUGGAUGUGAAAACUCUGGGCUCAACCCAGAGCCUGCAUCCAAUACUGACGAGCUAGAGUUCUGGAGGGGGUAGCGGAAUUCCUGGUGUAGCGGUGAAAUGCGUAGAUAUCAGGAGGAACACCGGUGGCGAAGGCGGCUACCUGGACAGAGUCUGACGCUGAGGCACGAAAGCUAGGGGAGCGAACAGG
This 253-nucleotide ribosomal RNA is filed under the name uncultured bacterium. Its description in RNAcentral is "partial 16S ribosomal RNA". It matches the Rfam family "Bacterial small subunit ribosomal RNA", at positions 524 to 776 of the family's 1533-position model. The record is from RNAcentral.